CCUACGGGAGUCAGCAGUGAGGAAUAUUGGUCAAUGGUCGCAAGCCUGAACCAGCCAAGUCGCGUGAGGGAUGACGGUCCUAUGGAUUGUAAACCUCUUUUGUCGGGGAGCAAGGCCCGCCACGUGUGGCGUGAAGUAGAGUACCCGAAGAAAAAGCAUCGGCUAACUCCGUUCCAGCAGCCGCGGUAAUACGGGGGAUGCGAGCUGUAUCCGGAUUUAUGGGGUUUAAAGGGUGCGUAGGCGGAAGGUUAAGUCAGCGGUCAAAUGUCGGUGCUAAACACCGGCAUGCCGUUGAAACUGGUCUUCUUGAGUGAGCGAGAAGUAUGGGGAAUGCGUGGUGUAGCGGUGAAAUGCAGAGAUAUCACGCAGAACUCCGAUUGCGAAGGCAGCAUACCGGCGCUCAACUGACGCUGAGGCACGAAAGCGUGGGGAUCGAACAGGAUUAGAUACCCGGGUAGUC
RNAcentral lists this ribosomal RNA (460 nucleotides) under uncultured bacterium. RNAcentral's name for it is "partial 16S ribosomal RNA". It matches the Rfam family "Bacterial small subunit ribosomal RNA", at positions 338 to 795 of the family's 1533-position model. The record is from RNAcentral.